Molecule: ribosomal RNA, 505 nt
Filed under: uncultured bacterium
Lineage: Bacteria
Description: partial 16S ribosomal RNA
Rfam family: Bacterial small subunit ribosomal RNA
Source: RNAcentral
AGUGAACGCUGGCGGUAGGCCUAACACAUGCAAGUCGAACGGCAGCACAGGAGAGCUUGCCCUCUGGGUGGCGAGUGGCGGACGGGUGAGGAAUACAUCGGAAUCUACUUUUUCGUGGGGGAUAACGUAGGGAAACUUACGCUAAUACCGCAUACGACCUACGGGUGAAAGCAGGGGACCUUCGGGCCUUGCGCGAUUGAAUGAGCCGAGGUCGGAUUAGCUAGUUGGCGGGGUAAAGGCCCACCAAGGCGACGAUCCGUAGCUGGUCUGAGAGGAUGAUCAGCCACACUGGAACUGAGACACGGUCCAGACUCCUACGGGAGGCAGCAGUGGGGAAUAUUGGACAAUGGGCGCGAGCCUGAUCCAGCCAUACCGCGUGGGUGAAGAAGGCCUUCGGGUUGUAAAGCCCUUUUGUUGGGAAAGAAAUCCAGCUGGCUAAUACCCGGUUGGGAUGACGGUACCCAAGAAUAAGCACCGGCUAACUUCGUGCCAGCCGCCGCCGUAA